Molecule: ribosomal RNA, 254 nt
Filed under: uncultured bacterium
Lineage: Bacteria
Description: partial 16S ribosomal RNA
Rfam family: Bacterial small subunit ribosomal RNA
Source: RNAcentral
UACGUAGGGUGCGAGCGUUGUCCGGAAUUAUUGGGCGUAAAGAGCUCGUAGGCGGUGUGUCGCGUCGGCCGUGAAAACCUGGGGCUCAACUCUGGGCGUGCGGUCGAUACGGGCAUCACUAGAGUCCGGAAGAGGAGAGUGGAAUUCCUGGUGUAGCGGUGAAAUGCGCAGAUAUCAGGAAGAACACCUAUGGCGAAGGCAGCUCUCUGGGACGGUACUGACGCUGAGACGCGAAAGCGUGGGGAGCGAACAGG